UGAGCAACCUGCCCUUGACUCUGGGAUAAGCCUGGGAAACUGGGUCUAAUACCGGAUAUGACUCCUCAUCGCAUGGUGGGGGGUGGAAAGCUUUAUUGUGGUUUUGGAUGGACUCGCGGCCUAUCAGCUUGUUGGUGAGGUAAUGGCUCACCAAGGUGACGACGGGUAGCCGGCCUGAGAGGGUGACCGGCCACACUGGGACUGAGACACGGCCCAGACUCCGUACGGGAGGCAG
This 235-nucleotide ribosomal RNA is filed under the name uncultured bacterium. RNAcentral's name for it is "partial 16S ribosomal RNA". It matches the Rfam family "Bacterial small subunit ribosomal RNA", at positions 118 to 351 of the family's 1533-position model. The record is from RNAcentral.